GCCUAACACAUGCAAGUCGAGCGGCAGCGGAAAGUAGCUUGCUACUUUGCCGGCGAGCGGCGGACGGGUGAGUAAUGUCUGGGAAACUGCCUGAUAGAGGGGGAUACCAGUUGGAAACGACUGUUAAUACCGCAUAAUGUCUACGGACCAAAGUGUGGGACCUUCGGGCCACAUGCUAUCGGAUGCGCCUACGUGGGAUUAGCUAGUUGGUGAGGUAAUGGCUCACCAAGGCGACGAUCUCUAGCUGGUUUGAGAGGAUGAUCAGCCACACUGGAACUGAGACACGGUCCAGACUCCUACGGGAGGCAGCAGUGGGGAAUAUUGGACAAUGGGCGCAAGCCUGAUCCAGCCAUGCCGCGUGUGUGAAGAAGGCCUUCGGGUUGUAAAGCACUUUCAGCGAGGAGGAAGGGUGGUGUGUUAAUAGCACAUCAUUUUGACGUUACUCGCAGAAGAAGCACCGGCUAACUCUGUGCCAGCCGCCGCAGUAA
This 488-nucleotide ribosomal RNA is filed under the name uncultured bacterium. RNAcentral's name for it is "partial 16S ribosomal RNA". It matches the Rfam family "Bacterial small subunit ribosomal RNA", at positions 46 to 523 of the family's 1533-position model. The record is from RNAcentral.